GAGGUUAUAGUUCAGUGGUAGAGUGCAUAGUUAGCAUGCAUGAGGUCCUGGGUUCAAUCCCCAGUACCUCCA
RNAcentral lists this transfer RNA (72 nucleotides) under Camelus bactrianus (Bactrian camel). It matches the Rfam family "tRNA". Rfam says of the family: Transfer RNA (tRNA) molecules are approximately 80 nucleotides in length. Their secondary structure includes four short double-helical elements and three loops (D, anti-codon, and T loops). Further hydrogen bonds mediate the characteristic L-shaped molecular structure. tRNAs have two regions of fundamental functional importance: the anti-codon, which is responsible for specific mRNA codon recognition, and the 3' end, to which the tRNAs corresponding amino acid is attached (by aminoacyl-tRNA synthetases). tRNAs cope with the degeneracy of the genetic code in two manners: having more than one tRNA (with a specific anti-codon) for a particular amino acid; and 'wobble' base-pairing, i.e. permitting non-standard base-pairing at the 3rd anti-codon position. The record is from Rfam by way of RNAcentral. RNAcentral also lists the same sequence under 1 other name. Lineage: Eukaryota; Metazoa; Chordata; Mammalia; Artiodactyla; Camelidae.